AUACGGAGGGUGCGAGCGUUAUCCGGAUUUAUUAGGUUUAAAGGGUGUGUAGGCGGGAGCCUAAGUCAGUGGUGAAAUCUCACAGCUUAACUGUGAAACUGCCAUUGAAACUGGGUUUCUUGAGUAUAGUUGAGGUAGGCGGAAUAUGUAAUGUAGCGGUGAAAUGCAUAGAUAUUACACAGAACACCGAUUGCGAAGGCAGCUUACUAAGCUAUUACUGACGCUGAUGCACGAAAGCGUGGGUAGCGAACAGGAUUAGAAACCACAGUAGUCC
This 274-nucleotide ribosomal RNA is filed under the name uncultured bacterium. RNAcentral describes it as "partial 16S ribosomal RNA". It matches the Rfam family "Bacterial small subunit ribosomal RNA", at positions 523 to 796 of the family's 1533-position model. The record is from RNAcentral.